CUCUGGGUGUCCGUGUUUCCUUUUAUUCUUAUAUUGGCUGCUUAUGGUGACAAUUACAGAAUUGUUACCAUAUAGCUAUUGGAUUGGCCAUCCGGUG
RNAcentral lists this non-coding RNA (97 nucleotides) under Trichinella murrelli. RNAcentral describes it as "Picornavirus internal ribosome entry site (IRES)". It matches the Rfam family "Picornavirus internal ribosome entry site (IRES)", at positions 156 to 252 of the family's 252-position model. Rfam says of the family: IRES elements allow cap and end-independent translation of mRNA in the host cell. Lineage: Eukaryota; Metazoa; Nematoda; Enoplea; Trichinellida; Trichinellidae. The record is from Rfam by way of RNAcentral.